RNAcentral lists this ribosomal RNA (490 nucleotides) under uncultured bacterium. RNAcentral's name for it is "partial 16S ribosomal RNA". It matches the Rfam family "Bacterial small subunit ribosomal RNA", at positions 30 to 507 of the family's 1533-position model. The record is from RNAcentral.
AUUGAACGCUGGCGGCAGGCCUAACACAUGCAAGUCGAACGGUAACAGGAAGAAUCUUGCUUCUUUGCUGACGAGUGGCGGACGGGUGAGUAAUGUCUGGGAAACUGCCUGAUGGAGGGGGAUAACUACUGGAAACGGUAGCUAAUACCGCAUAACGUCGCAAGACCAAAGAGGGGGACCUUCGGGCCUCUUGCCAUCUGAUGUGCCCAGAUGGGAUUAGCUAGUAGGUGGGGUAACGGCUCACCUAGGCGACGAUCCCUAGCUGGUCUGAGAGGAUGACCAGCCACACUGGAACUGAGACACGGUCCAGACUCCUACGGGAGGCAGCAGUGGGGAAUAUUGCACAAUGGGCGCAAGCCUGAUGCAGCCAUGCCGCGUGUAUGAAGAAGGCCUUCGGGUUGUAAAGUACUUUCAGCGGGGAGGAAGGGAGUAAAGUUAAUACCUUUGCUCAUUGACGUUACCCGCAGAAGAAGCACCGGCUAACUACGUG